CAAGACCUUGCGCUUUUGGAGCGGCCGAUGUCUGAUUAGCUAGUUGGUGAGGUAAAGGCUCACCAAGGCUCCGAUCAGUAGCUGGUCUGAGAGGACGACCAGCCACACUGGGACUGAGACACGGCCCAGACUCCUACGGGAGGCAGCAGUGGGGAAUUUUGGACAAUGGGGGAAACCCUGAUCCAGCCAUGCCGCGUGAGUGAAGAAGGCCUUCGGGUUGUAAAGCUCUUUCAGCCGGAAAGAAAUCGUGCAGAUUAAUACUCUGUAUGGAUGACGGUACCGGAAGAAGAAGCACCG
RNAcentral lists this ribosomal RNA (297 nucleotides) under uncultured Nitrosospira sp. Its description in RNAcentral is "partial 16S ribosomal RNA". It matches the Rfam family "Bacterial small subunit ribosomal RNA", at positions 207 to 495 of the family's 1533-position model. The record is from RNAcentral. Lineage: Bacteria; Pseudomonadati; Pseudomonadota; Betaproteobacteria; Nitrosomonadales; Nitrosomonadaceae.